Molecule: non-coding RNA, 29 nt
Filed under: Rattus norvegicus (Norway rat)
Lineage: Eukaryota; Metazoa; Chordata; Mammalia; Rodentia; Muridae
Source: RNAcentral
UAGUUGGUCACAUUGAACUAAAGCCUUCU